RNAcentral lists this ribosomal RNA (171 nucleotides) under uncultured bacterium. RNAcentral's name for it is "partial 16S ribosomal RNA". It matches the Rfam family "Bacterial small subunit ribosomal RNA", at positions 1330 to 1500 of the family's 1533-position model. The record is from RNAcentral.
AAUUGCUAGUAAUCGCGGAUCAGCAUGCCGCGGUGAAUACGUUCCCUGGCCUUGUACACACCGCCCGUCACACCAUGGGAGCCGGUAAUACCCGAAGUCAGUAGCCUAACCGCAAGGGGGGCGCUGCCGAAGGUAGGAUUGGCGACUGGGGUGAAGUCGUAACAAGGUACC